CUUGUCUAUGUUAUUAAGUUGAUUACCAAGAGUUUUGACGGAUUAGAAUGUUGGAAAUGACGUUAUAACUACGAUAUGUUUAUUGAGUUGAAAUUGUAAUUGUAAUAACCCAUAUUUUUUUUAGGCUUCGUUGGUAAUUUAAAUAAAAGAAGGAAAUAAAAAAAUAUAUAUAUAUAGAAGAAUUAAGUGGUACAAAAUAAAAGAAAAGGAGGAUUAAAGGGUCCUAAAAAAAGGGGAAAAGAGAUGUGGGCCAAGCCCACAAAAAGAAGAAAAAGAAAAUAAAGAGAAAAAGGAAUAAAAGUCUGAUGCAUCAGACGUGAAAACAGAAAACAGAAACGAUAGAAGCAGAAACAAGAAAAAAAAAACGCAGUAGAAGGAAGGGAAGAAAAAGAGGGGAGAAAAAUAAGGAUUUUCAACCCAAAUCAUCAAGUUUGAGGCAAUCCGGAGACCCCAGAACGCAGUUUUGAUUUUUUUUUUGGGAAGUGUGCUUGAAUUGUGAAUUUGAGACACUGUCGUUGAGAACGAGGCUGGUAAUUGAAGACUUCGUGAGUGGAUUCUGUUGCUGAGGUGAGCCACCGCAUUGUUCGUGGAGGCAGCCAUUUCAGCUUUAUCUGGUUUAUUUCUAGUUAUUUCUUUUAUUUUGGGUUUACAUGCCCGACACUCAAACUCAUGUAACUCUGUUAGAUGCUCCAUGGUCUUAGCGUGGGAUGUGGGCUAGAGAUUCUUUUUAUCUUAGCGUUGGUUGAUUUUCAUAAAUCGAUUAUGGAUUUGGUUGGCGACUAUUUCGCAUUUUUAUCAUUAAUAACGUUGUUGGACCUGCACU
This is a long non-coding RNA of Lycium barbarum (goji berry), 823 nucleotides long. RefSeq lists it as uncharacterized. The record is from RefSeq and is a predicted model, not a curated record. NCBI's taxonomy places the organism in Eukaryota, Viridiplantae, Streptophyta, Magnoliopsida, Solanales, Solanaceae. The transcript is spliced from 3 exons.